UACAGAGGUCUCAAGCGUUGUUCGGAUUCAUUGGGCGUAAAGGGUGCGUAGGCGGCGCAGUAAGUCGGGUGUGAAAUCUUGGAGCUUAACUCCGAAACUGCAUUCGAUACUGCCGUGCUUGAGGACUGGAGAGGAGACUGGAAUUUACGGUGUAGCGGUGAAAUGCGUAGAUAUCGUAAGGAAGACCAGUGGCGAAGGCGGGUCUCUGGACAGUUCCUGACGCUGAAGCACGAAGGCCAGGGGAGCAAACGGG
This 253-nucleotide ribosomal RNA is filed under the name uncultured bacterium. RNAcentral's name for it is "partial 16S ribosomal RNA". It matches the Rfam family "Bacterial small subunit ribosomal RNA", at positions 524 to 776 of the family's 1533-position model. The record is from RNAcentral.